GGGGCUAUAGCUCAGCUGGCAGAGCGUUGCAUUCGCAUUGCAGAGGUCGCCGGUUCGAUUCCGGCUAGCUCCACCA
RNAcentral lists this transfer RNA (76 nucleotides) under Gammaproteobacteria bacterium AqS3. Its description in RNAcentral is "tRNA-Ala". It matches the Rfam family "tRNA". From Rfam's summary of the family: Transfer RNA (tRNA) molecules are approximately 80 nucleotides in length. Lineage: Bacteria; Pseudomonadati; Pseudomonadota; Gammaproteobacteria. The record is from RNAcentral.